UCCCCGUUAUCCGAGGCGGUUUCGCCAGAGUGCCCAACUGAAUGAUGGCAACUGACAAUAAGGGUUGCGCUCGUUGCGGGACUUAACCCAACAUCUCACGACACGAGCUGACGACAGCCAUGCAGCACCUAUAUAGCGACCCUUGCGGGAAGGGAUGUUUCCACCCCGGUCCACUACAUUUCGAGCCCAGGUAAGGUUCUUCGCGUUGCGUCGAAUUGAACCACAUGCUCCACCGCUUGUGCGGGCCCCCGUCAAUUCCUUUGAGUUUCAGUCUUGCGACCGUACUCCCCAGGCGGAUUGCUUAUCGCGUUAGCUUCGGCACGGCGGGAUUGGGUACCCGACACACCAAGCAAUCAUCGUUUAGGGCUAGGACUAC
This 376-nucleotide unclassified non-coding RNA is filed under the name uncultured Terriglobales bacterium. Its description in RNAcentral is "uncultured Acidobacteriales bacterium contains 16S-23S intergenic spacer region". The record is from RNAcentral. Lineage: Bacteria; Pseudomonadati; Acidobacteriota; Terriglobia; Terriglobales.